RNAcentral lists this ribosomal RNA (253 nucleotides) under uncultured bacterium. RNAcentral describes it as "partial 16S ribosomal RNA". It matches the Rfam family "Bacterial small subunit ribosomal RNA", at positions 524 to 776 of the family's 1533-position model. The record is from RNAcentral.
UACGAAGGGUGCAAGCGUUACUCGGAAUCACUGGGCGUAAAGCGUGCGUAGGCGGUUGGUUAAGUCUGCUGUGAAAGCCCUGGGCUCAACCUGGGAACUGCAGUGGAUACUGGCUAGCUAGAGUGUGAUAGAGGAUGGUGGAAUUCCCGGUGUAGCGGUGAAAUGCGUAGAGAUCGGGAAGAACACCAGUGGCGAAGGCGGCUCACUGGUCCGGUACUGACGCUGAGGUGCGAAAGCGUGGGGAGCAAACAGG